This 271-nucleotide unclassified non-coding RNA is filed under the name plant metagenome. RNAcentral's name for it is "partial contains small subunit ribosomal RNA, internal transcribed spacer 1, and 5.8S ribosomal RNA". The stretch from base 1 to 54 matches the Rfam family "Eukaryotic small subunit ribosomal RNA", at positions 1778 to 1831 of the family's 1831-position model. The record is from RNAcentral.
GGAAGUAAAAGUCGUAACAAGAUUUCCGUAGGUGAACCUGCGGAAGGAUCAUUCACAACAAGUGUUUUAUGGCACUUUUUAAACAAUCCAUAUCCACCUUGUGUGCAACGUUUGGAGACCCUCGACAUCGUCACCUUUUUGGGGUGAUGGGAAAGAGGGAACCUCUAUAAUUUACCAACACAUCACCUUUAACUUAUUUGUCUGAACAUUUGUUAUCACGAAUUAACUUAAUUCGAAAAUACAACUUUCAACAACGGAUCUCUUGGCUCUC